ACACACACACACACACACACACACGUGUGUGUGUGUGUGUGUGUGU
This 46-nucleotide microRNA precursor is filed under the name Podarcis lilfordi (Lilford's wall lizard). Lineage: Eukaryota; Metazoa; Chordata; Lepidosauria; Squamata; Lacertidae. The record is from RNAcentral.